Molecule: ribosomal RNA, 574 nt
Filed under: uncultured bacterium
Lineage: Bacteria
Description: partial 16S ribosomal RNA
Rfam family: Bacterial small subunit ribosomal RNA
Source: RNAcentral
UAAGGAAUAUUGCUCAAUGGGAGAAAUCCUGAAGCAGCAACGCCGCGUGGAGGAUGAAGGGUUUUUAACUUGUAAACUCCUGUAAAGAAGGAAAAAAUUCCCAUUAGAUGGGAAAUGAUGGUACUUCUGGAGUAAGCCCCGGCUAACUACGUGCCAGCAGCCGCGGUAAUACGUAGGGGGCAAGCGUUGUCCGGAUUUACUGGGUGUAAAGGGUGCUCAGGCGGAUUUGUAAGUCAGAGGUGAAAUCUCACAGCUUAACUGUGAAACUGCCUUUGAUACUGCAAGCCUAGAGUAUGGAAGAGAGUGAUGGAAUAUCUGGUGUAGCAGUGAAAUGCGUAGAUAUCAGAUAGAAUACCAAUGGCGAAGGCAGUCACUUGGUCCAUAACUGACGCUAAAGCACGAAAGCGUGGGUAGCAAAACAGGAUUAGAUACCCUGGUAGUCCACGCCCUAAAACGAUGAAUACUAGAUGUUGGCUUCGCAUGAAGUCAGUAUCUGAGCUAACGCAUUAAGUAUUCCACCUGGGAAGUACGAUCGCAAGGUUGAAACUCAAAUGAAUUGACGGGGUCAUAGCUG